AUACGGAGGGUGCAAGCGUUAUUCGGAAUCACUGGGCGUAAAGGACGCGUAGGCGGGUUGGCAAGUCAGAUGUGAAAUCCUACAGCUUAACUGUAGAACUGCAUUUGAAACUGCUAAACUAGAGUAUGGGAGGGGGAGAUGGAAUUAGUGGUGUAGGGGUAAAAUCCGUAGAUAUCACUAGGAAUACCGAAAGCGAAGGCGAUCUCCUGGAACAUAACUGACGCUAAGGCGUGAAAGCGUGGGGAGCAAACAGGAUUAGAAACCCUAGUAGUCC
Molecule: ribosomal RNA, 274 nt
Filed under: uncultured bacterium
Lineage: Bacteria
Description: partial 16S ribosomal RNA
Rfam family: Bacterial small subunit ribosomal RNA
Source: RNAcentral